RNAcentral lists this ribosomal RNA (685 nucleotides) under uncultured Spirochaetota bacterium. RNAcentral's name for it is "bacterial SSU rRNA". It matches the Rfam family "Bacterial small subunit ribosomal RNA", at positions 196 to 872 of the family's 1533-position model. The record is from RNAcentral. Lineage: Bacteria; Pseudomonadati; Spirochaetota.
AACGAGGAAAGGCGCUACGGCGCCGGCCUGAAGAUGAGCUUGCGUCCCAUUAGCUAGUUGGUGAGGUAACGGCCCACCAAGGCGAUGAUGGGUAGCCGGCCUGAGAGGGUGUACGGCCACACUGGGACUGAGAUACGGCCCAGACUCCUACGGGAGGCAGCAGCUAAGAAUAUUCCGCAAUGGACGAAAGUCUGACGGAGCGACGCCGCGUGGAUGAAGAAGGCCGAAAGGUUGUAAAGUCCUUUUGCUGGGGAAGAAUAAUGUCAGGAGGGAAUGCCUGGCAGAUGACAUGAACCGGCGAAUAAGCCCCGGCUAACUACGUGCCAGCAGCCGCGGUAACACGUAGGGGGCGAGCGUUGUUCGGAAUUACUGGGCGUAAAGGGCAUGUAGGCGGCCUUGUAAGCCUGGCGUGAAAUUCCACGGCUUAACCGUGGGAAUGCGUUGGGAACUGCGAGGCUUGAGUGACGGAGAGGGAGCUAGAAUUCCUGGUGUAGGGGUGGAAUCUGUAGAGAUCAGGAAGAAUACCAAUGGCGAAGGCAAGCUCCUGGCCGAUGACUGACGCUGAGGUGCGAAAGUGUGGGGAUCAAACAGGAUUAGAUACCCUGGUAGUCCACACUGUAAACGAUGUGCACUAGGUGCUGGGGCGGAUGCUUCAGUGCCGUAGCUAACGUGAUAAGUGCACCGC